GCUGCAUUGGCCAAGCGGUACGGCGUCCGUUUCCUAAGCGGAAGAUCGCGGGUUCGACCCCCGCAUGCGGUU
Molecule: transfer RNA, 72 nt
Filed under: Trichosporon asahii var. asahii CBS 8904
Lineage: Eukaryota; Fungi; Basidiomycota; Tremellomycetes; Trichosporonales; Trichosporonaceae
Description: tRNA-Arg (CCT) (tRNA-Arg-CCT-3-1)
Rfam family: tRNA
About the family: Transfer RNA (tRNA) molecules are approximately 80 nucleotides in length. Their secondary structure includes four short double-helical elements and three loops (D, anti-codon, and T loops).
Source: RNAcentral